UCCGGCUUAACGCCGGCGGUCUCCCUAGAGUGCCCAACUUAAUGAUGGCAACAAGGGACGUGGGUUGCGCUCGUUGCGGGACUUAACCCAACAUCUCACGACACGAGCUGACGACAGCCAUGCAGCACCUGUCUACCAGUCCCCGAAGGGAAAGGCCUGUUUCCAGGUCCCGUCCGGUAGAUGUCAAGACCAGGAUAAGGUUCUUCGCGUUGCGUCGAAUUAAACCACAUGCUCCACUGCUUGUGCGGGUCCCCGUCAAUUUCUUUGAGUUUUAAUAUUGCGACCGUACUCCCCAGGCGGGGUGCUUAACGCGUUAGCUCCGUCACUGAAAGGGUUAACACUUCCAACGACAAGCACCCAUCGUUUACGGCGUGGACUAC
Molecule: unclassified non-coding RNA, 380 nt
Filed under: uncultured Pseudobdellovibrionaceae bacterium
Lineage: Bacteria; Pseudomonadati; Bdellovibrionota; Bdellovibrionia; Bdellovibrionales; Pseudobdellovibrionaceae
Description: uncultured Bdellovibrionaceae bacterium contains 16S-23S intergenic spacer region
Source: RNAcentral